Long non-coding RNA from Gordionus sp. m RMFG-2023, 1745 nucleotides. RefSeq lists it as uncharacterized. The record is from RefSeq and is a predicted model, not a curated record. NCBI's taxonomy places the organism in Eukaryota, Metazoa, Nematomorpha, Gordioida, Chordodea, Parachordodidae. The transcript is spliced from 5 exons.
UUCUAUUGCUUCUACUAUUGAUGUAACAGCAGAUAUAAGUGAGAAUGAGAAUCUUAAUGCCGUCUUUGUAGAAGAUAAUAUCAUCUUCCAAAAUAUCAUCCUCGAACUUAAAGAGACUUACAAAAAAAGCACAGUGAAUUUAAAAAUGAGAUUACCAAACACCUCAACGAAUUCUCUACACGAAAAAAUAUAUCACUGCAAAACCAAAGUGGUUCCGGUUGCAAAUCCAGACAAUCUAAAUUAAAUUUUAACAAUCUAAACAUUCCAGCUGUAUCGCAAAAAACAGCAGACGAGGUUAUCAUGGAUUUUAUUAUUGACACCUUCCAACCACUGUCUCUGGUUGAUGAUCCUUCAUUUGAAAAAAUGAUUUAAACUUGUCGCGAAACACUCUACAACAGGAUAUCUACUUCCUUCUCUUAUAUGACAACAAAUCUUAUAAGAGAUUUGUCUGAAGUUUCUUAUGUAUGCACCACUGGUGAUUGUUGGAGUGGUCAUCGAAGGGCUUUUAUUGGACUUACUACACAUUGGCUGGAUCCAUUAACCCUCAAGAGAAGGUCAGCCGCUUUGGCACUGAGGAGGAUAAUUGUGAGGCAAACAGAUGUUUUGGCCAACGAAAUCAUGGGUAUCCACAGUUCUAUAAAAUUUAUAAUAAGGCGGUGAAGAUGGUGACUGACAAUGGAACCAACUUUGUCAAGGCAUUUAAUUUUUGGAGAAAAUGAAGAAUAGUAGUGAGGAUAUGGAAUUGAUAAAUUUGGAUGACAUAUUAUCCGUUGAUGACCCAAUUAUUCCUACUAUCAGCCUACCAAAACAUCAACGUUGUUGUUGCCAUAAUCUUAACCUUGCAACAACAGAUGCGGAGAUGGCAGAUAGUGAUCUUAUAAACUAAUAUCUAGAUCCACUUUUGCAAAAUGUUUUGCUUUAGUUAAUAAACAAAAUAUGUCGUAAAAAAUGGCGGAUAUUUUAUUGGAGAAAUUGGGAAGAUAUUUAAUAGCUCCCAACAAGACAAGAUGGAAUUCUUAUUACCAAUCCAUGAAAUUAAUAGUUAAGAUGCUUUCUGAAAAGUUUUCAGAAGUAGAACAAGUAUGUGAUCAAAUUGGAUUUGCAAUGUUUAGGCAAGUGGAAUGUUUUUUUGUUAAAGAGUAUGUAACAGUAAUACAAUGAUAUUCUCUUAAUAAAUUUAGGUUAUGGAACCUUUGGCGAUCUCGUUUAAAAUCUUGGAACGGGAGGAUAAUAUGGAGCUGGUAUAUCUAACUCCCGUUCUAUCGAUAUUGAUAGAUUAAUUAACGAAAUUUAGCUGCCUGCGGUAUUGUCAGCCCCUUGUAGAUAGUGUUCUUAGAGGUAUUGAUAAAAGAUUUCCUUCACUCUAUGAAGACAGUAACAUUUUGGCAGCCAUGAUUCACCCUAAAUUUAAACUUAAUUGGCCUUAUAUUAAUCUGCCACAAAAUAUGAUGGUAAAAGAAAGAUUAGUUGCCCAUUUGGGAAAUAUGCAGGAACAACCAUAUGCGGAUACCUCAAAUGAAUGUAUGGAUGACAUUGAUGCUUUUUGGGGGAAAAAUACUGUACAUAAUGCUUGUUCCGUUAAAAAAAAUUUUUUAUUCAAAUGAUGUUUCCAUGAAUAGCAUAACAUGUUCUAAAUGAAAGACGCGGAUGUUUAAAUGAUGAUAAUUUAGAAAAAAUUUUAUUAUUAAAAGCUAAUUUUAAUUAUAAAUAAAUAUAUUAUAAUUGUUAUAUUUAUUAUUCAAUUA